GCCAGCAGCCGCGGUAAUACGAAGGGACCUAGCGUAGUUCGGAAUUACUGGGCUUAAAGAGUUCGUAGGUGGUUAAAAAAGUUGGUGGUGAAAUCCCAGAGCUUAACUCUGGAACUGCCAUCAAAACUUUUUAGCUAGAGUAUGAUAGAGGAAAGCAGAAUUUCUAGUGUAGAGGUGAAAUUCGUAGAUAUUAGAAAGAAUACCGAUUGCGAAGGCAGCUUUCUGGAUCAUUACUGACACUGAGGAACGAAAGCAUGGGUAGCGAAGAGGAUUAGAUACCCUCGUAGUCCAUGCCGUAAACGAUGUGUGUUAGACGUUGGAAAUUUAUUUUCAGUGUCGCAGCGAAAGCAAUAAACACACCGCCUGGGGAGUACGACCGCAAGGUUAAAACUCAAAUGAAUUGACGGGGACCCGCACAAGUAGUGGAGCAUGUGGUUUAAUUCGAAGAUACGCGCAGAACCUUACCAACACUUGACAUGUUCGUCGCGACUCUAAGAGAUUAGAGUUUUCGGUUCGGCCGGACGAAACACAGGUGCUGCAUGGCUGUCGUCAGCUCGUGUCGUGAGAUGUUGGGUUAAGUCCCGCAACGAGCGCAACCCUCACUUUUAGUUGCCAUCAUUUAGUUGGGCACUCUAAAAGAACUGCCAGUGAUAAGCUGGAGGAAGGUGGGGAUGACGUCAAGUCCUCAUGGCCCUUAUGUGUUGGGCUACACACGUGCUACAAUGGCAUCUACAACAGGAAGCAAAACGGCAACGUUAAGCAAAUCCCGAAAAGAUGCCUCAGUUCGGAUUGCACUCUGCAACUCGAGUGCAUGAAGCUGGAAUUACUAGUAAUCGUGGAUCAGCGUGCCACGGUGAAUACGUUCCCGGGUCUUGUACACACCGCCCGUCACACCAUGGGAGUUGGUUCUACCUUAAGGCAA
RNAcentral lists this ribosomal RNA (922 nucleotides) under uncultured prokaryote. RNAcentral's name for it is "bacterial SSU rRNA". It matches the Rfam family "Bacterial small subunit ribosomal RNA", at positions 507 to 1430 of the family's 1533-position model. The record is from RNAcentral.